Molecule: small nucleolar RNA, 127 nt
Organism: Arabidopsis thaliana (thale cress)
Lineage: Eukaryota; Viridiplantae; Streptophyta; Magnoliopsida; Brassicales; Brassicaceae
Rfam family: Brassica rapa small nucleolar RNA 775
About the family: Name based on close proximity to miR775. Precursors of both are encoded by a single gene sno-miR775.
Source: Rfam
UCGUUUAAUCAUUGAUGAUAGACUAAGAAAAUUAGGGUUUUUUAUUUUUGGUUUUUGAUAAAGAGAAAGAUGCCUCUUCUUUCAGCAGCAAGAUUAUUCUUGUUAGCUUUGUUCUGGAGGCACAGAU